Long non-coding RNA from Solanum stenotomum, 253 nucleotides. RefSeq lists it as uncharacterized. NCBI's taxonomy places the organism in Eukaryota, Viridiplantae, Streptophyta, Magnoliopsida, Solanales, Solanaceae. The record is from RefSeq and is a predicted model, not a curated record. The transcript is spliced from 2 exons.
UAGAAUUCGUGGAGCAGUCCAAGACGCUGGUUAGAGAUAGGUAAUCAAGACACAAAUGAACAAAACUGUUUUACUUUGGAGUUGGAGCAAUGGCCAGGAUUGUUGGAUUCGUGACCUCUUGAUUACUGAAAAUGUUACCUCGACAUCUUUUUAGAAUACUCAGAUGUAAUUCAUUCCCAGUUUUUGUAACUCGCAAUGUGAAUAUGUCACAUUACGCUUAUACUGAAUUUUGCACUUGUACUAUAGUUAGAUC